This 720-nucleotide ribosomal RNA is filed under the name Nocardiopsis sp. Its description in RNAcentral is "bacterial SSU rRNA". It matches the Rfam family "Bacterial small subunit ribosomal RNA", at positions 1 to 721 of the family's 1533-position model. The record is from RNAcentral. Lineage: Bacteria; Bacillati; Actinomycetota; Actinomycetes; Streptosporangiales; Nocardiopsidaceae.
GAAUUGCCCUUAGAGUUUGAUCCUGGCUCAGGACGAACGCUGGCGGCGUGCUUAACACAUGCAAGUCGAGCGGUAAGGCCCUUCGGGGUACACGAGCGGCGAACGGGUGAGUAACACGUGAGCAACCUGCCCCUGACUCCGGGAUAAGCGGUGGAAACGCCGUCUAAUACCGGAUACGACCCGUCGUCUCAUGACGGUGGGUGGAAAGUUUUUCGGUCAGGGAUGGGCUCGCGGCCUAUCAGCUUGUUGGUGGGGUAACGGCCUACCAAGGCGAUUACGGGUAGCCGGCCUGAGAGGGCGACCGGCCACACUGGGACUGAGACACGGCCCAGACUCCUGCGGGAGGCAGCAGUGGGGAAUAUUGCGCAAUGGGCGAAAGCCUGACGCAGCGACGCCGCGUGGGGGAUGACGGCCUUCGGGUUGUAAACCUCUUUUACCACCAACGCAGGCCCGGGGUUCUCUCCGGGUUGACGGUAGGUGGGGAAUAAGGACCGGCUAACUACGUGCCAGCAGCCGCGGUAAUACGUAGGGUCCGAGCAUUGUCCGGAAUUAUUGGGCGUAAAGAGCUCGUAGGCGGCGUGUCGCGUCUGCUGUGAAAGACCGGGGCUUAACUCCGGUUCUGCAGUGGAUACGGGCAUGCUAGAGGUAGGUAGGGGAGACUGGAAUUCCUGGUGUAGCGGUGAAAUGCGCAGAUAUCAGGAGGAACACCGGUGGCGAAGG